CCUACGGGAGGCAACAGUAGGGAAUCUUUCACAAUGGGCGAAAGCCUGAUGGAGCAACGCCGCGUGCAGGAUGAAGGCCUUCUGGUUGUAAACUGCUUUUAUAAGCGAGAAAUAUGAUGGUAACUUAUGAAUAAGGAUCGGCUAACUACGUGCCAGCAGCCGCGGUCAUACGUAGGAUCCGAGCAUUAUCCGGAGUGACUGGGUGUAAAGAGUUGCGUAGGUGGCAUAAUAAGUAGCUAGUGAAAUCUGGUGGCUCAACCAUUCAGACUAUUAGCUAAACUGUUAAGCUCGAGACCGUUAGGGGUAACUGGAAUUUCUAGUGUAGGAGUGAAAUCCGUAGAUAUUAGAAGGAACACCAAUAGCGUAGGCAGGUUACUGGGACGGUUCUGAUACUAAGGCACGAAAGCGUAGGGAGCAAACGGGAUUAGAUACCCCUGUAGUC
Molecule: ribosomal RNA, 442 nt
Filed under: uncultured bacterium
Lineage: Bacteria
Description: partial 16S ribosomal RNA
Rfam family: Bacterial small subunit ribosomal RNA
Source: RNAcentral